UACGGAGGGUGCAAGCGUUGCUCGGAAUUAUUGGGCGUAAAGGGUAGGUAGGUGGUCUCAUUUGUCUGGGGUGAAAGCCUUGAGCUUAACUCAAGAAGUGCCCCGGAAACGGUGAGACUAGAGUCCUGGAGAGGGUCGUGGAAUUCCCGGUGUAGCGGUGAAAUGCGUAGAUAUUGGGAGGAACACCAGUGGCGAAGGCGGCUCACUGGACCGGUACUGACGCUGAUGCGCGAAAGCGUGGGGAGCAAACGGG
RNAcentral lists this ribosomal RNA (253 nucleotides) under uncultured prokaryote. RNAcentral's name for it is "partial 16S ribosomal RNA". It matches the Rfam family "Bacterial small subunit ribosomal RNA", at positions 524 to 776 of the family's 1533-position model. The record is from RNAcentral.